RNAcentral lists this ribosomal RNA (333 nucleotides) under uncultured eukaryote. Its description in RNAcentral is "partial 18S ribosomal RNA". It matches the Rfam family "Eukaryotic small subunit ribosomal RNA", at positions 1470 to 1796 of the family's 1831-position model. The record is from RNAcentral.
CCCUUAGAUGUUCGGGGCCGCACGCGCGCUACACUGAAGGAAUCAGCGUGCUCUUGCCCUGGUCUGGAAAGACUGGGUAACCCGUUGAACCUCCUUCGUGCUAGGGAUUGGGGCUUGCAAUUAUUCCCCAUGAACGAGGAAUUCCCAGUAAGCGCAAGUCAUCAGCUUGUGUUGAUUACGUCCCUGCCCUUUGUACACACCGCCCGUCGCUACUACCGAUUGAAUGGUUUAGUGAGACCCUCGGAUUCGUCCCAGCACAGUGGGUUUCUGCUGAGCUGGUGCGCGGAGAAGACGGUCGAACUUGAUCAUUUAGAGGAAGUAAAAGUCGUAACA